GAAGGGCAAGGCAAGGAGCCCGGCUGAGGCUGCGCAGAAAGCUCUGACACAAUUGUGCUUCCUGAUUGUCGCCUCCUGCCUGCAAGCCACUGAACGUUUCCCACUUGAUAUCAUCAUGCAGAAAGGGAGAAGCGAGACGCAAUGAGAGAUUCAGGUACCAAAAGAUUAAAGUCAGCUGCUCAUCUGCAAACUGCCUAGCCAUUGUCCUUCACUGGUGAGAUACAAGGAGGAAGUUGUGGGACGAGAGGAACUACACUAGACUUCAGAUUUUUGGACUAUACGGCAAGACUGUAAGAUACUUGUU
Molecule: long non-coding RNA, 304 nt
Filed under: Pelusios castaneus (West African mud turtle)
Lineage: Eukaryota; Metazoa; Chordata; Testudines; Pelomedusidae
Description: lncRNA (ENSPCEG00000019259.1)
Source: RNAcentral